This 528-nucleotide long non-coding RNA is filed under the name Olea europaea (common olive). RNAcentral describes it as "long non-coding RNA (OEUR_LNC013528)". The record is from RNAcentral. Lineage: Eukaryota; Viridiplantae; Streptophyta; Magnoliopsida; Lamiales; Oleaceae.
AUUUAAAUUAUGAUUAAUUGAGAGAGCAAAAAAAUAAAAAUUGGAGUCCAAUUUAAAAUUUUGCUCUGCAAUAAAAAUCGGUCAUCAAAUCAAAAUCGUCCGGUUCUUAAUUCUAAGAUGCAAAACCAAAUUGAUUCUUAAUUCUAAGACCUAGACCAUAACUUUUUGGUUCGACCCAAAACCAAAACGGUUCAGUCCUUAUCCAAGUCUAUAAUUAUAAAUAAAAAUGUUCGCUCCUGGAAAAAUAUGGAGAAAACUGAGAAGCAAACCCACCUACAAAUUAACCAAAGCAAUUGAUUAGUGUAAGGAUUUGCAAAAUAAAUUUAAGAAAAUCAAGAGCAAAAUCUGAAAAUAAAAAGAACGGUUUUCCCUUUUAUGAUUCGGCUCAGAAACUUGUUCCACACCACAAAGGUUUCUCCAAUUUGAAGGCCAUUAUCAAUCACACAGACAGAUUCACAAAGAAAAGGCAAGAGAAGAUUGGUUUGCACUAAGCAGGGAAGUUUUUCUUCCUCUUGGUUUUGGCUCUCG